This 664-nucleotide ribosomal RNA is filed under the name Aureoboletus citriniporus. RNAcentral describes it as "LSU rRNA". It matches the Rfam family "Eukaryotic large subunit ribosomal RNA", at positions 55 to 718 of the family's 3401-position model. The record is from RNAcentral. Lineage: Eukaryota; Fungi; Basidiomycota; Agaricomycetes; Boletales; Boletaceae.
AGAAAAGAAACUAACAAGGAUUCCCCUAGUAACUGCGAGUGAAGCGGGAAUAGCUCAAAUUUUGAAUCUGGCAGUCUUUGGCUGUCCGAGUUGUAAUCUAGAGAAGUGUUUUCCGCGCUGGACCAUGUACAAGUCUCCUGGAAGGGAGCGUCAUAGAGGGUGAGAAUCCCGUCUUUGACAUGGACUACCAGUGCUAUGUGAUGCGCUCUCGACGAGUCGAGUUGUUUGGGAAUGCAGCUCAAAAUGGGUGGUAAAUUCCAUCUAAAGCUAAAUACAGGCGAGAGACCGAUAGCGAACAAGUACCGUGAGGGAAAGAUGAAAAGAACUUUGGAAAGAGAGUUAAACAGUACGUGAAAUUGCUGAAAGGGAAACACUUGAUGUCAGUCGCAUCAGUCAGGGAUCAACCUUGCUUUUUCGCUGGGUGCAUUUCCUGGUCGAUGGGUCAGCAUCAGYUUCGGUCACUGUACAAUGSUGAAGGGAAUGUGGCACUCUUUGGAGUGUGUUAUAGCCUUUUAUUGUAUGCAGUGAUUGGGACUGAGGAACUCGCCACGACUUCGGUCUGUGUCUAGGAUGCUGGCAUAAUGGCCUUAAGUGACCCGUCUUGAAACACGGACCAAGGAGUCUAACAUGCCUGCGAGUGUUUGGGUGGCAACCCAGGCGCGUA